GGCAGCAGUGGGGAAUCUUCGGCGAUGGGGGGAACCCUGACCGAGCAAUGCCGCGUGAAUGAAGGAAUACUUCGGUAUGUAAAGUUCUUUUAUUUGGGAAGAACGGCUAGUGGAAAAGCUAGAGUGACGGUACCAAAUGAAUAAGCCCCGGCUAACUAUGUGCCAGCAGCCGCGGUAAUACAUAGGGGGCAAGCGUUAUCCGGAAUUAUUGGGCGUAAAGGGUGCGUAGGCGGUUAGUAAAGUUUAAGGUAUAAGCUCAUGGCUCAACCAUGGGAGGCUUUAGAAACUGGCUAACUUGAGUGCAGUAGAGGCAAGUGGAAUUCCAUGUGUAGCGGUAAAAUGCGUAAAUAUAUGGAGGAACACCAGUAGCGAAGGCGGCUUGCUGGGCUGUAACUGACGCUGAGGCACGAAAGCGUGGGGAGCAAACAGGAUUAGAUACCCUGGUAGUCCACGCCGUAAACGAUGAGUGCUAGGUGU
This 477-nucleotide ribosomal RNA is filed under the name uncultured Bacillota bacterium. RNAcentral describes it as "bacterial SSU rRNA". It matches the Rfam family "Bacterial small subunit ribosomal RNA", at positions 347 to 823 of the family's 1533-position model. The record is from RNAcentral. Lineage: Bacteria; Bacillati; Bacillota.